ACGGGAGGCAGCAGUGAGGAAUAUUGGUCAAUGGGCGGAAGCCUGAACCAGCCAAGUCGCGUGAAGGAUGAAGGUAUUAUGUAUUGUAAACUUCUUUAGACGUAGAGAAAUAAGGGUGUCGUGACACUUGAUGCUAGUAUACGUAGAAUAAGGAUCGGCUAACUCCGUGCCAGCAGCCGCGGUAAUACGGAGGAUCCGAGCGUUAUCCGGAUUUAUUGGGUUUAAAGGGUGCGUAGGCGGCCCCUUAAGUCGGCGGUGAAAUUUCCGGGCUCAACCCGGUCACUGCCGUCGAAACUGGGGGGCUUGAGUGCGUUUGGGGUGGCUGGAAUGUGCGGUGUAGCGGUGAAAUGCAUAGAUAUCGCACAGAACGCCGAUCGCGGAGGCAGGUCACCAAGCCGCAACUGACGCUGAGGCACGAAAGCGCGGGGAUCGAACAGGAUUAGAUACCCUGGUA
Molecule: ribosomal RNA, 454 nt
Filed under: uncultured Paludibacter sp.
Lineage: Bacteria; Pseudomonadati; Bacteroidota; Bacteroidia; Bacteroidales; Paludibacteraceae
Description: partial 16S ribosomal RNA
Rfam family: Bacterial small subunit ribosomal RNA
Source: RNAcentral